RNAcentral lists this ribosomal RNA (497 nucleotides) under uncultured bacterium. Its description in RNAcentral is "partial 16S ribosomal RNA". It matches the Rfam family "Bacterial small subunit ribosomal RNA", at positions 28 to 507 of the family's 1533-position model. The record is from RNAcentral.
GAUGAACGCUGGCGGCGUGCCUAAUACAUGCAAGUCGAGCGAACAGAUAAGAGCUUUGUUCCUUUGACGUUUUCCGCACACGGGUGAGUAACACGUGGGUCACCUCCCUAUAAGACUGGUAUCACUCCGAGAAACUGGCUCAUACCCCGUAUAAGUAGUUGAACCAUAUGGUUCUACAGAGAGAUGCGAUUUUGCUAUCACCAAUUGGAGGUCCGCGGUCGUAUUAGCUUGUUGGUGGGGUAACGGCCCACCAAGGCAACGCUCAGUAGCCGACCUGAGAGGGUGAUCGGCCACACGGGAACUGGAACACGGUCCAGCCUCCUAGGGGAGGCAGCAGAAGGGAAUCUUCCGCAAUGGGCGAAAGCCUGACGGAGCAACGCCGCGGGAGGGAUGAAGGUCUUCGGAUCGAAAGACUCUGUUAUUAGGGAAGAACAAAUGCGUAAGGAACUGUGCGCGUCUUGACGGUACCUAAUCAGAAAGCCACGGCUAACUACGUG